CCUAAGGUAGCGAAAUUCCUUGUCGGGUAAGUUCCGACCCGCACGAAAGGCGUAACGAUCUGGGAACUGUCUCAACAAUAGACUCGGUGAAAUUGUAGUACCGGUAAAGAUGCCGGUUACCCGCAGCAGGACGGAAAGACCCCGUGGAGCUUUACUGUAGCUUGAUAUUGAGUUUCGGCGUUGCAUGUACAGGAUAGGUGGGAGACGAUGAGAUGAGUACGCCAGUAUUCAUGGAGUCACUGUUGGGAUACCACCCUUGUAACGUUGAGGUUCUAACGGUGUGCCGUAAUCCGGCAUCCGGACAGUGUCAGGUGGGCAGUUUGACUGGGGCGGUCGCCUCCUAAAGAGUAACGGAGGCGCCCAAAGGUACCCUCAGAUUGGUUGGAAAUCAAUCGACGAGCGCAAAUGCAGAAGGGUGCUUGACUGCAAGACAGACAAGUCGAGCAGGGACGAAAGUCGGGAUUAGUGAUCCGGCGGUGCAGAAUGGAAUGGCCGUCGCUUAACGGAUAAAAGCUACCCUGGGGAUAACAGGCUGAUCUCGCCCAAGAGUUCACAUCGACGGCGAGGUUUGGCACCUCGAUGUCGGCUCAUCGCAUCCUGGAGCUGAAGUCGGUUCCAAGGGUUGGGCUGUUCGCCCAUUAAAGCGGUACGCGAGCUGGGUUCAGAACGUCGUGAGACAGUUCGGUCCCUAUCUGUUGUGGGCGUAGGAAAUUUGAGGAGAGCUGUCCUUAGUACGAGAGGACCGGGAUGGACCCACCGCUGGUGCACCAGUUGUAUCGCCAGAUGCAUAGCUGGGUAGCUAAGUGGGGAACGGAUAAACGCUGAAGGCAUCUAAGCGUGAAACCGACUCCGAGAUGAGAUUUCCCAUUUCCAAGAGAAAGUAAGACCCCUUGAAGACGACGAGGUAGAUAGGUCAGAGAUGGAAGCACAGCGAUGUGUGGAGUUGACUGAUACUAAUCGGUCGAGGAUUUAAUCAC
RNAcentral lists this ribosomal RNA (977 nucleotides) under human gut metagenome. RNAcentral's name for it is "bacterial LSU rRNA". It matches the Rfam family "Bacterial large subunit ribosomal RNA", at positions 1950 to 2925 of the family's 2925-position model. The record is from RNAcentral.